GUCGCGACGGGGAGAAAACCCACAACGGGAUUGAAAC
halophilic archaeon J07HB67 is the source of this 37-nucleotide non-coding RNA. NCBI's taxonomy places the organism in Archaea, Methanobacteriati, Methanobacteriota, Halobacteria, Halobacteriales. The record is from Rfam.